RNAcentral lists this non-coding RNA (21 nucleotides) under Caenorhabditis elegans. The record is from RNAcentral. Lineage: Eukaryota; Metazoa; Nematoda; Chromadorea; Rhabditida; Rhabditidae.
UUUUCCGUUUAAAUUGAUUUU